UUAAAAGGUCAUAAAUUUGAUGGUAUGUACUAUUAAUAAUCUUUGUGCUUAUUUAUUAAUGAUAGGAAGUUAUGUUAAUAAACAUAUGGCUAGCAGUAUUUGCUUUGCUCUGUACCAAAGCACGGGUGUAGUCUCGGGCACUGUAAUCAUUGUCGGUGACAGUGGGAAGGAGGACGUCCAUUGUCACGGAUGGGCGUUAUGUUGAGAAAAGGAUUUGACCUAUGGGGUCUUGAAACAGGAGCGUGCAAUUUUUUCUCUCCCGUUGCAAAGCACGGGCAUUUUUGCUAGUAAUAAUAAAGCACGGAUUGACUCCGUGGGUUCAUCGUCAUAAUACGCUUUCUCCCUGUGAUUUUACGCUUUUAGUUUAAAUUUAAAACAUAUUCGAGGUGGUACUAAAGCGUUAUUACUAAUAAAGAGGUUAUUGGUUUUCGUCUGUAUAAGUCGCUAAGUUUCUUCCGUCCGGCCCGCUUGACUGGGCCGUGUUGAUCGUUCCCUGUCAACCGCGUGAUGACUGAACUGGGCCUGGUCAACACUUCCCCUCCUACGCCAGAGAGCUUUCCCCCGCGGGCCGCGCAGGCAACUCCUCCUCCUCCUCUACCUCCGCCUCCCUGCGUCGCUCGCCGGGCCGGAGGACGACGACGAGCCCUUACUGGAAGAGGAGGAGGAGGGCACCGUCGAGCUCGUGCAGCUCGGCGCCAGCCACGGCAAGAACGUCCUCAUCCUCACGAGCGACACCGGCGGGGGUCACCGCGCCUCCUCCGAAGCCAUCAAGGACGCCUUCGGCGACGACUACCGAUCUUCGUCAAGGAUCUCUGCAAGGACCACGCCGGCGGGCCGCUCAACAACAUGGGGGGCUCUUACAAGUUCAUGGUGAAGCACGUACAACUCUGGAAGCUGCCCUUCCACGGCACAUCGCCAAGAUGGUCUGAUUCCGAUUAUACAGCACUGCGAUGCUACCUCUACUGAACACACGUGUAACUACAGUUGAAGGAUCACAAAUAUAUGGUCCAGCAAUGCACGGUAAAUCUGUAUCCAGGCAGAUUCAGUCCACCUCUUCACCACCGUGACCCACACCUACGACCUGGCUUGGUUGUGGUGCUAAUUCAGCAAUGCAAGUCUGAUCCCUUCAACUCUCAGGUGUCUUAUUCCACUACUUCAUGAUGAUGCUUGGGGAGUGGGUUCAGAGUAGGGAUGGCGGGAGCGUUUGAGUUGUACUGGCAGUCCGCCAUCGGCAGGGCCGUCAUGGAGACGCUGGACGAGAUGGUCCUUAGCCCCGAUCAUGCCAUCAGCGUCCAAGUACAGUUCGAUGAGGUCUGAUUGGCGUUUUGCUUGUCUGCGAAUCAAUCGGCAGGGCCUAUAAUAUCAGCAAAUUGUGUGUCGUUGGUUGUUUAUUCAUCAUG
Non-coding RNA from Triticum urartu, 1400 nucleotides. NCBI's taxonomy places the organism in Eukaryota, Viridiplantae, Streptophyta, Magnoliopsida, Poales, Poaceae. The record is from RefSeq and is a predicted model, not a curated record.